Molecule: RNA transcript, 1573 nt
Organism: Hordeum vulgare subsp. vulgare (domesticated barley)
Lineage: Eukaryota; Viridiplantae; Streptophyta; Magnoliopsida; Poales; Poaceae
Exons: 8
Source: RefSeq, a predicted model, not a curated record
ACGGACAUGCCAGCGCGGCCCGGCCUCAACGGCCUCCGCGCGGAGCUGCGCGACUACGACCAGCCGGAGGUGGAGGCCAUCAGGUGGGAGGCCCUCGGGUCGGGCUUCGCGGAAGACGUCGUCCUGCUCCGCCACGUCGACGGCCGCUACCACCGCGCCAACGGAAGGUACCUCCACUGGAACGCCACCGGCGUCAGCGUCGACGACAGCGUCAGCUCCAUGAUGCACUGGAUCGUCGAGACCACCCCCUUCAGAGAUGCGGGCAUGCCUGCCAUUCCUGGCCCGCUUCCGACUCGCCCAAGAUUCUCCGCCAUAUUCACGCGUCGGGGAGCGGAACGGCAGAUCCGAGGCGUCGAGCCCAUCCCGGGAGAGGAGGGCAUGCCUGCUGCUCAUGGCCCGAAUGGCCCAAGGUUUUCCUCCAUGUUCAGUUCUCUCGGACGGCGCAUCCGGUUCGUGCGGGCGCUCGAGGACGGGUACUACCCCCCUGAGGUCAACAGCUGGCCACGGGAGGCUGACCCCGCUCGUCGUCAACCUGCCCGACGGUGGCUAUGGCGGGACCCUCGAGAUCGUCGUCUUCCUGAUCGGGACCCCUGUGCUGGUGGACAAACGAGCUUACUGAAAGAAGGGGUGUCUGUGAUGCCGCCUCCAGCAACGCAGAGGAGGGGUGUCCCGUCUGGACGUCACAUCAUCUGGCUUCUCCCCAAAAUUGUUGAACUUUUGUACCUAAGGAGACAAAGGGGUGCGUGAACGGGCGAGGAGAUCGCAGCGAUGUACUACCCCAGUUGGUGCACGAUUGAGCCUCGUACUCAACAUAUUCACUACUUGCAUCCCAAUGCCUGGGUCAGGAUAAGCAUGAAAAAAGGAACUUAAAUAGCUCGGUGCUGAUGAGGGGUUCACAAGAGGACAAUACUACAAUUAAAGAAUGUCAGUAGCCUGUUGUGUUGGUGGACAAAUGAGCUUACUUGAAGAAGGGGGGAUCUGAACGUGAUGAAAAGGUUAUUUUGUUCCAUUUUCCUUAUAAGCAUCCAUAUCUUUUGCUCCCUUCGUUGUACCUUCAACAACCAUGUUCAUUGUGUCGGGUUUGUAUCAUUUCCACCUAUCUUCUCACUCUUAAACCAUUUGGCUGGGUCGAUGUUUUAUUAAUAGAUACAAUUGAACUUGCAUCGUAUCUCAAACUAUGUCCCUAAUACGCCAGCCCACCCGUGCGUAUAUUAAGUGAAAACUGGGAUUAUGUCAAGUUUUCAAUGGUAUGAUCGGCUUGUAUCUUGCUGUCAUCGAAGUUAAGACAUGGCUCCGGGGCAGUACAUUUAUGCCUCAGGAUGGAAAUGUUCCUUGGCACCAUGACAAACAUUGGUGGAGUAACAAUCUGUUUUGUUGCUGUCGCUUAUGUAUUUUCGCUGCCACAAAGAUUACUUGGACACAGAGUCACAGUGUGUUAGAAAAUGAUUACAUUUUCCUUUUGUAACCUGAUGGUGUUAGACUGUUAGUAACAUCUCAGCAGUAGGGCGGGAUUAGCUAGCCCUUUCUUGGAUAUGUUUCCCAUAUAGUGUGUGGGGUCGACUAUUCAUACUUG